GAUACGCCAUUUGUGGAACCGUGUAGUAAACAUUGUGAUACUAAAGUUAAUUUUAGUUUGGUGCCUUAAGUGAGCACUAAGUCCGACAUGUGAGAUUGGGAAGACCAGAAAUCGCGUGUGUGUCCUUGCAACGUGAACAUGAACUGGAAAAAAGGGCCUGUGUUUUUGCUGUUUUGUUGUUGCCCUGCCAUCCUCACAACAUCUCUUCAAUGUCCUGACCCAGCUGUGAAAGUCAUCUAGAGUCGUCUAAAGUCAUCGCAAGUCAUCCCGUUGAAUUCUUCAUUGCUACCUACUGGUCUAACAAGCAUGCCACCCCCUCCCGCUGCUCUGAGAAUGUUUUCAACUUUUGAUCCUGACACCUGCGUCUGCCUGGAAUUCCACUCCAGCUCCG
This is a long non-coding RNA of Puntigrus tetrazona (Sumatra barb), 391 nucleotides long. RefSeq lists it as uncharacterized. Lineage: Eukaryota; Metazoa; Chordata; Actinopteri; Cypriniformes; Cyprinidae. The record is from RefSeq and is a predicted model, not a curated record. The transcript is spliced from 3 exons.